GACGAACGCUGGCGGCGUGCCUAAUACAUGCCAGUAGAACGCUGAAGCGAGGAGCUUGCUCUUCUUGGAUGAGUUGCGAACGGGUGAGUAACGCGUAGGUAACCUGCCUUGUAGCGGGGGAUAACUAUUGGAAACGAUAGCUAAUACCGCAUAACAAUGGCUGACACAUGUCAUUUAUUUGAAAGGGGCAAUUGCUCCACUACAAGAUGGACCUGCGUUGUAUUAGCUAGUAGGUGAGGUGAUGGCUCACCUAGGCGACGAUACAUAGCCGACCUGAGAGGGUGGUCGGCCACACUGGGACUGGGACACGGCCCAGACUCCUACGGGAGGCGGCAGUAGGGAAUCUUCGGAAAUGGGGGCAACCCUGACCGAGCAACGCCGGGUGAGUGAAGAAGGUUUUCGGAUCGUAAAGCUCUGUUGUAAGUCAAGAACGGGUGUGAGAGUGGAAAGUUCACACUGUGACGGUAGCUUACCAGAAAGGGACGGCUAACUACGUG
RNAcentral lists this ribosomal RNA (497 nucleotides) under uncultured bacterium. RNAcentral's name for it is "partial 16S ribosomal RNA". It matches the Rfam family "Bacterial small subunit ribosomal RNA", at positions 28 to 507 of the family's 1533-position model. The record is from RNAcentral.